Long non-coding RNA from Cimex lectularius (bed bug), 727 nucleotides. RefSeq lists it as uncharacterized. Lineage: Eukaryota; Metazoa; Arthropoda; Insecta; Hemiptera; Cimicidae. The transcript has 3 exons. The record is from RefSeq and is a predicted model, not a curated record.
AAUGACAUGAUAAGAGAAAAAAGUCUUAUUCUCAGUUCUUUAUUUUUAUUUAUUGACACAUACAGGCUGAUAGUCUAAUUUCCUAAAAUACAUAACAUAUAGGACUGUAAGAAGAAGGCUCAGUGACAAUAACCUGAGGGCGGCCUUUCACCUGGCUCAUGGAACUCUACUCAUCCCAGCUCAGAAAAUGGCCAGGCUUCAAUUUGGACAGGAACAUCUGAAUUGGACAUUUGGAAGAUUGGGGACAAGUUACUUUACAGAUAAAAUGAAAGUUGGCCUCAAAUAUUCAGAUGGGCCUAAUUUUAUAUGGAGACGCUCAGGAGAAAAGUACACCCCAUGCUAUAUGUUCUGCGGUGGGUCAUUGAUAUUUUAGGUUGGCAUUUCCUUGGACGCCUGCACUGAAUUGAUUUUGUGCGAAGAAAAUCUCUUAACUUUAUAGAGAGAUUUUCUUGCUAACGCAGGAUAAUGAAAGGCCCUAUAGAGCCCAUAUUAUAGGUGACUAUCUGAACGGGGUUGGAAUUGAGUGCUUGGUGCGGCUAACCAAGUCCAGAUUUGAACACAAUCAAACACAUUUGGAGGACCAACUGAAGCAACGAGUAUGACGGCUAAAUCCAGGUCCUAACACCCUAGGAGAGUUGGAAACAACUCUUCUUGAUGAAUGGGAAGAAAUUCCACAGGACUUUAUUUUAAUUUUGGCUAGGUAUCAGUAUAUUAUUUAAUUGUGGGG